UACGUAGGGCGCAAGCGUUGUCCGGAUUUAUUGGGCGUAAAGGGUGCGUAGGCGGUUUGGCAAGUCUGAUGUGAAAUCUAUGGGCUCAACCCAUAGUCUGCAUCAGAAACUGCCGGGCUUGAGUAUGGGAGAGGUGAGUGGAAUUUCCGGUGUAGCGGUGAAAUGCGUAGAUAUCGGAAGGAACACCUGUGGCGAAAGCGGCUCACUGGACCAUAACUGACGCUGAUGCACGAAAGCUAGGGGAGCAAACAGG
This 253-nucleotide ribosomal RNA is filed under the name uncultured bacterium. RNAcentral describes it as "partial 16S ribosomal RNA". It matches the Rfam family "Bacterial small subunit ribosomal RNA", at positions 524 to 776 of the family's 1533-position model. The record is from RNAcentral.